ACACAUAUAUAUACACACACACACACACACACAUAUAUAUAUAUAUAUGUGUGUGUGUAUGUAUAUGUAUAUGUAUAUGUAU
Molecule: non-coding RNA, 82 nt
Organism: Podarcis lilfordi (Lilford's wall lizard)
Lineage: Eukaryota; Metazoa; Chordata; Lepidosauria; Squamata; Lacertidae
Source: the annotation of a GenBank genome assembly